This 1616-nucleotide transfer RNA is filed under the name Varroa destructor (honeybee mite). Its description in RNAcentral is "uncharacterized LOC111247676, transcript variant X1". The stretch from base 1172 to 1242 matches the Rfam family "tRNA". Lineage: Eukaryota; Metazoa; Arthropoda; Arachnida; Mesostigmata; Varroidae. The record is from RNAcentral.
CUCUGAGAAUUUUAACGUGUCGAACCUUCGAUAGGUAUCAAGUGUUUUUGCAAAAUUAUCAUCUCUGUGGACAAAGAUCUGACAACAAGGAUAAUGAGCUCGAAUGGAAUGAAGAGGCUGAGAAUAUUGAUCAAUAUUGAAUGUCAAGCCAGCUCGCCGCGCAGCCAGCAAACGCGAGAGCUAUAAACGCAACGACUAUGUUUUGUGCGAACAGUUGGGAUGUCCUGUUAAAGACGAAAGCGUCGAUACACUUUGACGGGUCCGUUAUUGAAAAAUGAUGAUUUGUUCCUUACCAUGGAACAGGCUAUUCAAAGCUGAUUCAGGCUCCGUCAAGGGCAUUGACUACAUGACUAAGGUGGCUAAAUAAAACCCUAACAUUCUACCACGAUGUAAACCAUAACGGAAGUCUAUCAAGAAUAGCCAAACUAUGACAUAUAUAUAUAUAUAUAUAUAUGAUUUGGCAGGUAAGUCACUUCUUUGAUAUCAAAUUAAACUAUAACUCAUUAUAGUAACAAAUGCUUCAAGGUGUGUCUCAAAUUACCGUACCAUUUUCCUCUUUUUGCUGAAUGUAGCAUUUUCCUGUCAUCCUAACCUUUAAUACAAAGUAAGGCUCUCUAUGACUGACCUAGCCGCCGAGUGUUUGUCAUGGCGGCAGAUGUGUCAGCGAUCAGCCACAAUACGUCAGUUUGAUACCACCACUGAUCAAGGGAUACUCGCUUAAUUUUGAGAACAAGACAUUUAAAUGCAUGUAAAAUGCCUGUACAUUCUUGAGUGCAGACAAAUAAAAUGGAAACCAUUACUCAUUGACAGAUAUUUUCAAUUUCUAUUGGUCGCUUUACAGGUAACAGCUUUCUGAAGACGACCGCCACGAACACUGCAUCAGAAUCUAGCGCUCAUAGACUCCCUAACUAAUUAUUUCUCAGAUCAAUUAUGUUAAAAAUGUCAAAUGUAACUCGAUAGAAGUAAAUAACUGUACAUAACUGUAAAUAAAUGAAAUACUGCUCGCUAUCAUUUUGACUUCGCAGACUUCGUUAGCAGACUUCCUUAAUGUUAUGCAACAUCAAGGGGAAAGGGCAUUCAGGAAAGGGCGAGCUGUUAGCAAAACACGCUUGUGUUGAAUACAGCCGAGUACCAAAUAGACCACCGCUUCGGAGAACCCAUAGGACGUAGGGCGCCGCUGGUGUAGUGGUAUCAUGCAAGAUUCCCAUUCUUGCGUCCCGGGUUCGAUUCCCGGGCGGCGCAUAUCUUUUCCCAAAUUCCGAUCCGCACACCCAUCAGCUCUGAAUGCACAACCUGUCGUUACGAAUCGAAAUAUUCUUUCUUAUAUGAUUGAUACGAAUUGUCCCAUAUAAAGGUGUGGUAGUGAAUGAUUGAUGAUCGAUCGAUAAUAUAAUUGCAAUAUACGAUAUAUGUCAAACAUACCUCGUAAACGCUAUUUAUUACUAAAUAAAUCCUGAAUAUCCUAUCUAAAGAGCAAGUGAGACCAAUGAGCACCUUACGAAUAAAUACUGGGAAUGGCACCUUGAGCCUAUUAAUUUCGAAUAUCCUUAUCCUAAAAUGAACAAUGAAAACACACAGAAAUACGAGCAGAUUAAGGUCCUCAAAAGCAUUGAAUC